Molecule: ribosomal RNA, 447 nt
Filed under: uncultured bacterium
Lineage: Bacteria
Description: partial 16S ribosomal RNA
Rfam family: Bacterial small subunit ribosomal RNA
Source: RNAcentral
AACGAACGCUGGCGGCAGGCUUAACACAUGCAAGUCGAACGCCCCGCAAGGGGAGUGGCAGACGGGUGAGUAACGCGUGGGAACCUACCUUUCGGUACGGAAUAACUCGGGGAAACUCGUGCUAAUACCGUAUAUUCCGGUAACGGGAAAGAUUUAUCGCCGCAAGACGGGCCCGCGUUAGAUUAGCUAGUUGGUGGGGUAAUGGCCUACCAAGGCGACGAUCUAUAGCUGGUCUGAGAGGAUGAUCAGCCACACUGGGACUGAGACACGGCCCAGACUCCUACGGGAGGCAGCAGUGGGGAAUCUUGGACAAUGGGGGAAACCCUGAUCCAGCCAUGCCGCGUGAGUGAUGACGGCCUUAGGGUUGUAAAGCUCUUUCACGCAUGACGAUGAUGACGGUAAUGCGAGAAGAAGCCCCGGCUAACUUCGUGCCAGCAGCCGCCGUAA